AUACGGAGGGUCCAAGCGUUAUCCGGAAUCAUUGGGUUUAAAGGGUUCGUAGGCGGGUCAAUAAGUCAGAGGUGAAAUCUUGCAGCUUAACUGUAAAAUUGCCUUUGAAACUGUUGACCUUGAAUUACUGUGAAGUGGUUAGAAUAUGUAGUGUAGCGGUGAAAUGCUUAGAGAUUACAUAGAAUACCGAUUGCGAAGGCAGAUCACUAACAGUAUAUUGACGCUGAUGAACGAAAGCGUGGGUAGCGAACGGAAUUAGAAACCCCGGUAGUCC
RNAcentral lists this ribosomal RNA (274 nucleotides) under uncultured bacterium. RNAcentral describes it as "partial 16S ribosomal RNA". It matches the Rfam family "Bacterial small subunit ribosomal RNA", at positions 523 to 796 of the family's 1533-position model. The record is from RNAcentral.